UAUUAUGAUGUUUGUUUUGUA
Molecule: non-coding RNA, 21 nt
Filed under: Caenorhabditis elegans
Lineage: Eukaryota; Metazoa; Nematoda; Chromadorea; Rhabditida; Rhabditidae
Source: RNAcentral